RNAcentral lists this ribosomal RNA (169 nucleotides) under uncultured bacterium. RNAcentral describes it as "partial 16S ribosomal RNA". It matches the Rfam family "Bacterial small subunit ribosomal RNA", at positions 338 to 524 of the family's 1533-position model. The record is from RNAcentral.
CCUACGGGAGGCAGCAGUGGGGAAUAUUGGACAAUGGGCGCAAGCCUGAUCCAGCAAUGCCGCGUGAGUGAUGAAGGCCUUCGGGUUGUAAAGCUCUUUUACCUGCGACGAUGAUGACGGUAGCAGGAGAAUAAGCCCCGGCUAACUUCGUGCCAGCAGCCGCGGUAAU